UACGGGGGGAGCAAGCGUUGUUCGGAUUUACUGGGCGUAAAGGGCGCGUAGGCGGUCGUGACAAGUCACUUGUGAAAUCUCCGGGCUUAACUCGGAACGGUCAAGUGAUACUGUCGGACUAGAGUACAGAAGGGGCAACUGGAAUUCUCGGUGUAGCGGUGAAAUGCGUAGAUAUCGAGAGGAACACCGGUGGCGAAGGCGGGUCUCUGGGCAACAACUGACGCUGAGGAGCGAAAGCGUGGGGAGCGAACAGG
This 254-nucleotide ribosomal RNA is filed under the name uncultured bacterium. RNAcentral's name for it is "partial 16S ribosomal RNA". It matches the Rfam family "Bacterial small subunit ribosomal RNA", at positions 524 to 776 of the family's 1533-position model. The record is from RNAcentral.